Long non-coding RNA from Dermacentor silvarum, 807 nucleotides. RefSeq lists it as uncharacterized. The transcript has 2 exons. The record is from RefSeq and is a predicted model, not a curated record. Lineage: Eukaryota; Metazoa; Arthropoda; Arachnida; Ixodida; Ixodidae.
GUUGAGGAAACAUCUAGUGUUUACAGCACAGCGAAUACUUUCCCAUGAAAAAAAAAACGAAAAAAAAAAAACGAAUUACCGGCUGUAAUCUGCAAGGCAGAAUCGCGCUGCCCGGUCAGCUUACGAACGACGGUGCAAUAGUACAGAACACCCAUGGCAAUAGCAGCAACCAUAUUUGUUUGCGGCUGAAGUUUCGUUAGUGUCGUAUUUUCUGUUGAAGUGCGCAAAAAGUAAAUGUAAAAACUUUUAACCUAAAUUACUGACUUGAUACCGCAUAUAAAAGGCCGUAAUAUUUAUUGACAUCAAAGAGCAGUAUCGCAGAGAAGGGAACACGGCGGUUGGGAAGGAUAUAAAACUGCGACCGUAGUCAGCCGUAGUUGCGCACAGCACGUGUGCCAUGGCGGCUGCCAUGUCAAGGCGAGGCGUCACGCGAGGUGUGCGUGUUAGUGAAUGAACGAUGUGUUUUUAAGGAACCCGUGGUGUUAGCGCCUGCGCAAUCUCAUUCGUGCAGUAAUAUAUUUGGAUAGUUUUAUCUAUGGAUGCUGUUAAUACUUCAAAACAACGCAAGGCAACUGUUUUACCCCUGUCCUUCGCGGCUUUGUGGAUCUAUCAGCGUGCAUCGAUGUGCAGCGUUUUCCCCGGCGCCGAUUUGCCAUCUCGAGGUUUUUUUAACCACUUCAUCAAAAGGACGUCCUCUGGUCGAAGUCAACGAAAAGCUCUCAAUCAAGAUUGCUGACCUGACGAAGAUCUCGAAAGAGGAAUCUGUAAAAAGAUAUGCUGUGCUAAUAAAUGCUUCUAGAAAUUUUA